RNAcentral lists this ribosomal RNA (420 nucleotides) under uncultured bacterium. RNAcentral's name for it is "bacterial SSU rRNA". It matches the Rfam family "Bacterial small subunit ribosomal RNA", at positions 64 to 507 of the family's 1533-position model. The record is from RNAcentral.
GGACGCUCACCGGGGUUUCGGCUCUGGUGGGAGUGGCGCACGGGUGAGUAGCGCGUGGGAACCUGCCCUUUUGUGGGGGAUAACCGAGAGAAACUUCGGCUAAUACCGCAUGCGCCCCUGGGGCGACCUGGGGGGAAAGAUUUAUCGCAGGAGGAGGGGCCCGCGUCGGAUUAGGUAGUUGGUGGGGUAACGGCCUACCAAGCCGAUGAUCCGUAGCUGGUCUGAGAGGAUGAUCAGCCACACUGGGGACUGAGACACGGCCCAGACUCCUACGGGAGGCAGCAGUGGGGAAUAUUGGACAAUGGGCGCAAGCCUGAUCCAGCAAUGCCGCGUGAGUGAUGAAGGCCUUCGGGUUGUAAAGCUCUUUCGCCCGCGACGAUGAUGACGGUAGCGGGAGAAGAAGCCCCGGCUAACUUCGUG